Molecule: transfer RNA, 74 nt
Filed under: Prevotellaceae bacterium
Lineage: Bacteria; Pseudomonadati; Bacteroidota; Bacteroidia; Bacteroidales; Prevotellaceae
Description: tRNA-Pro
Rfam family: tRNA
About the family: Transfer RNA (tRNA) molecules are approximately 80 nucleotides in length.
Source: RNAcentral
CGGGGUGUGGCGCAGUUGGCUAGCGCGCCACGUUCGGGACGUGGAGGCCGUGUGUUCGAGUCACAUCACCCCGA